Molecule: long non-coding RNA, 1627 nt
Organism: Hypanus sabinus (Atlantic stingray)
Lineage: Eukaryota; Metazoa; Chordata; Chondrichthyes; Myliobatiformes; Dasyatidae
Exons: 4
Source: RefSeq, a predicted model, not a curated record
UCCUCUUCUUCCCUCAGUCUCCCUGUGGAGUCCUUCCUUUCUGUCCUGAUUCAAUACUUGGCUGGCCCCUGGAGUAUUUUCCACAUCUCCUCUGGCAAUCCCCUCUCAGUAACUUAUCUGGCUCUCUCUCUACUUCCGCAAGUCGCUCCCCUACCGCCUCCUGCUUUUCUAGGCUUCUGCCUCCUACCUCUUCCCCACAAAUUCUCGCAUCCUCUCUCUCUCCACUUAACUCUUGCUCCUCCAAUGAGUCACCUUCUCUUUCUUCCUGUCCGUGUCUGUACACCUGUGGCAGGGACUCCUCAUGAUCCUUACUCGUGCUUGAUUCCCUUCUCUCUUGUGUUUCUCCAAGACUCUCCUCUCCUAUCUUUUUUCCACUUCUUCUUGAAUGCCUCAUCUCUUCCUGCCCUGAUGAGCCACUUUCUUUUCUAGUCUGUUUAUUUCUAUAGUAUAACCGCUACUCCUCAUACUCCUUUUCCUCUCUCAAGUAUUUCAUCCGUUCAAUCUCUUCUUUCAUUUUUUUCUCUGCCUGUUCCACCUUUAUCCUUUCUGCCUGUAUCUCCUUCCAUAUCGCUGCUUUUUCCUUCUCGUAUUGUCUUUUUCCCCUCCGCAUUAUCCCAAACUUGUACUUCUCCCUGUAUGUUUACUGUUCCCGUCAGCAGGGGGCACUGCUUAGGGGUUCCUUCCUCAUUAUAGGGAGGGGGCUUUUCUGUUUCUUUCGCAUCCAGGUACGGAGCUGAAGCCAGCUUCUCACUGUACCUUCCUCUCUCUCUAACAGGCUGUUUCUCCAGCACCUUAGUGUCUUCCUCGCUUGUAAUCAAUAUUCUACCUGUCCUCCUCAGCCUCUCUCCCUCCGUUCUGAAGAGUUUUAGCACUUCCAUUUCUCGUUCUCUUUUUUGCCCUCUUUUCUUAGAUUUAUCUUUUGGUUUGUAAUUUUUAAUUAGUGCCUCCAUUUCUUCGCACGAGCUUACAUAAAACGUUCCUUCUCAUGGCCAUUUUGUGACCAGGUUUUUGGUUCUUUUUUCCCAUUUUUCUGAAGUUUUUGUGAUCUCAUAUCUAUUUACUGGGAAUUUUUUGCUCAGAAUCUCUACUGCCAUUCCUUUACCUGUCAUGUUGUUCUCUCUUUUUAAGGUAUUUCAGAGAUUCACAGUUCGUUUACUGGAUAAUAUUAUUUACUCCAAUUCUGUGCCUAGUCUAUCGUCUAUCUACCAGCGCUUUAAACUAUAUAUUGGACUGUCGUUGUUUCCUAUUCUGUUCUGCCCGUACAGACCUCUAUUCAGAGUGGUAUCCACAGAACUUUCUGAAAGGAGAAGUGAAGGCAGGCUGCUGGAUUUAUUCCCUUAUAACAGUGAUCAACAGAUAAGAAGGUAGAGGGAAGAGAUGGUCAUGUGAUGUUCCACUAUGAGUAUAAGGGACCACUUCCUCAGAAUUCAUCAUUAUCCUUGGCCUGUGGCUCCUCUUGAUCAAACCUCUGAGUUUUGGAGUCCUCUACCAGAUGGAAAAGACUGGGGCUUUUCCCCAAUGGAUUUUAAAAGCCUCCAUAAAGUUUCCACUCCAACUCCUAUGCUCCAGGGAUAAAAGUCCUAACCCAUCCAUCCUCUCAUAAUUUAAAGCCUCCAGUCCAGGUAAC